RNAcentral lists this ribosomal RNA (391 nucleotides) under uncultured bacterium. RNAcentral describes it as "bacterial SSU rRNA". It matches the Rfam family "Bacterial small subunit ribosomal RNA", at positions 30 to 423 of the family's 1533-position model. The record is from RNAcentral.
AUUGAACGCUGGCGGAAUGUUUUACACAUGCAAGUCGAACGGCAGCACGGGGCAACCUGGUGGCGAGUGGCGAACGGGUGAGUAAUACAUCGGAACGUGCCCAAUCGUGGGGGAUAACGUAGCGAAAGUUACGCUAAUACCGCAUACGAUCUACGGAUGAAAGCGGGGGAUCGCAAGACCUCGCGCGAAUGGAGCGGCCGAUGUCAGAUUAGGUAGUUGGUGGGGUAAAGGCUCACCAAGCCAACGAUCUGUAGCUGGUCUGAGAGGACGACCAGCCACACUGGAACUGAGACACGGUCCAGACUCCUACGGGAGGCAGCAGUGGGGAAUUUUGGACAAUGGGCGCAAGCCUGAUCCAGCCAUUCCGCGUGCAGGAUGAAGGCCUUCGGUU